CAGGCCGUCGAUUUUUAUCACUAAAAACACAUUUUCUCAACUCCUGCUUCCAAAGUUCAGAAACGCAUGUCUUCCCCAAAUUCAAGCUAGGUAUUUUUAUCACUAAAAACGCUUUCUCUUCAACACCGCCUCCGUCCGACACCACCACCGGCGACCAGCAUCGCCUACCCUCUCUCUCUUCCUUCUUCUCUUUCUUCCCCAUUUCUCCAUUUCUUUGUUCCUUCGUGCGACACCCCUGUUCGUGGAGUCACCCUUUGUCCGCGUCUUCAAGCACCGACAAGCAACCACCAGUGGCGGCGACCUUCUGUGCCACCGCGACAUCACCACCACCCCACUGCCUCUCCGUUCUUCUUCCUCCUUUCAUCAAUGCAGUGAUAUUCUAUAGCUUUUUUUGCGUACUUGGACAUUGAUGGUGAAGAGGAUGGCUUUGGAAAUAUGAAGGAAGACAAGGGUAGUUUGGGAAGUGAGCAGAAAAAUAUUAGAUGCAUCAUUUGUUAUUAGAUUUAUGGUACUCCUGUAUAUUAUGGGAAAACAAAUUCAAUUAGCAUGUACAUUAUUGAGAAGAAAAACUGCUAUCAUAUCAAAAUCUGUGUUAUAAAACUUAUUUA
This is a non-coding RNA of Arachis ipaensis, 608 nucleotides long. NCBI's taxonomy places the organism in Eukaryota, Viridiplantae, Streptophyta, Magnoliopsida, Fabales, Fabaceae. The record is from RefSeq and is a predicted model, not a curated record.